RNAcentral lists this microRNA precursor (199 nucleotides) under Oryza punctata. RNAcentral describes it as "MIR812 microRNA precursor family". It matches the Rfam family "MIR812 microRNA precursor family". The record is from Rfam by way of RNAcentral. Lineage: Eukaryota; Viridiplantae; Streptophyta; Magnoliopsida; Poales; Poaceae.
UUUAAACCCGGAUAUUAGUUUCCGUGUUCAUUUCUAAUCGUCUGUUUUAUUAAAAAAUUUUAUAAUGAGUGUUUUUAUUCUGAUUAGAUGAUAAAAUAUAAAUAGUACUUUGUAAUAUUUAUUUUUAAAUUUUUUUAUAAUAUUUUUAAAUAAGAUAAAUGAUUAAAAUUGGACACGGAAACUAAUGGAGAUAGUAAAA